This 65-nucleotide transfer RNA is filed under the name Indolivaga capnocytophagoides. It matches the Rfam family "tRNA", at positions 5 to 66 of the family's 71-position model. From Rfam's summary of the family: Transfer RNA (tRNA) molecules are approximately 80 nucleotides in length. Their secondary structure includes four short double-helical elements and three loops (D, anti-codon, and T loops). Lineage: Bacteria; Pseudomonadati; Bacteroidota; Bacteroidia; Bacteroidales; Dysgonomonadaceae. The record is from RNAcentral.
CGGUAGCUCAGCUGGAUAGAGCAACAGCCUUCUAAGCUGUGGGUCACAGGUUCGAAUCCUGUUCG